AAUUUUCUAGAAUUUAAUUAUUUUUUAUUUUUAAUUUAUAUUCUUGUUGAAAAUAACAGGAUUUUCUCUUAAGACUAAAAGACCCUAGAAUUUUUAUAAUUUUUUUUAUUUAGUUGGGGCAACUAAAAAUAAAA
Molecule: ribosomal RNA, 134 nt
Filed under: Zachvatkinia sp. 3 LMS-2018
Lineage: Eukaryota; Metazoa; Arthropoda; Arachnida; Sarcoptiformes; Avenzoariidae
Description: partial 16S large subunit ribosomal RNA
Source: RNAcentral